Molecule: ribosomal RNA, 614 nt
Filed under: uncultured bacterium
Lineage: Bacteria
Description: bacterial SSU rRNA
Rfam family: Bacterial small subunit ribosomal RNA
Source: RNAcentral
AAAGCGCGAAAGCGUGGGGAGCGAAGGGGAUUAGAAUACCCCCGUAGUCCACGCCGCAAACGAUGUCCCACUAGGUGUUGGCCUCUAAAUAAUAGGUCGGUGCCGCAGUUAACGGCGUUAAGUGGACCGCCUGGGAACUACGGCCGCAAGGCUAAAACUCAAGGGAAUUGACGGGGGCCCGCACAAGCGGUGGAGCACGUGGUUUAAUUCGAUGAUAAGCGAAGAACCUUACCAGGGCUUGACAUGCUCCGAUAAAGCCGUCCGAAAGGACGGUGGCUUGUAAGGAGCGAUCCUUACAAGGCGGUGCACAGGUGAUGCAUGGCUGUCGUCAGCUCGUGUCGUGGGACGUUGGGUUAAGUCCCGUAACGAGCGCAACCCCUGCCACUAGUUGCCAGCGGUACGGCCGGGGACUCUAGUGGAACUGCCGGUGAAUAGCCGGAGGAAGGAGGGGAUGACGUCAAGUCAUUAUGUCCCUUAUGUCCUGGGCGACACACGUGCUACAAUGGCCGGUACAACGGGCAGCCACUCCGCAAGGAGCAGCUAAUCCCAUAAAGCCGGUCCNAGUUCGGAUUGGAGUCUCGACUCGACUCCAUGAAGCGGNAAUGCUAGUAAUG